UUUCUGCAAGGUGCUGCAUGGUUGUCGUCAGCUCGUGCCGUGAGGUGUCGGGUUAAGUCCCAUAACGAGCGCAACCCUUAUCGUUAGUUGCCAUCUGGUAAUGCAGGGGACUCUAGCGAAACUGCCACCGUAAGGUGAGAGGAAGGUGGGGAUGACGUCAAAUCAGCACGGCCCUUAUGUCCAGGGCUACACACGUGUUACAAUGGUCGGUACAGAGGGCAGCUACCUGGUGACAGGAUGCUAAUCUCGAAAACCGGUCUCAGUUCGGAUCGAAGUCUGCAGCUCGACUUCGUGAAGCUGGAUUCGCUAGUAAUCGCGCAUCAGCUAUGGCGCGGUGAAUACGUUCCCGGGCCUU
Molecule: ribosomal RNA, 355 nt
Filed under: uncultured Sphingobacteriales bacterium
Lineage: Bacteria; Pseudomonadati; Bacteroidota; Sphingobacteriia; Sphingobacteriales
Description: bacterial SSU rRNA
Rfam family: Bacterial small subunit ribosomal RNA
Source: RNAcentral